GACAACGCUGGCGGCGUGCUUAACACAUGCAAGUCGAACGGAAAGGCCCUGCUUUUGUGGGGUGCUCGAGUGGCGAACGGGUGAGUAACACGUGAGUAACCUGCCCUUGACUUUGGGGAUAACUUCAGGAAAACUGGGGCUAAUACCGGAUAGGAGCUCCUGCUGCAUGGUGGGGGUUGGAAAGUUUCGGCGGUUGGGGAUGGACUCGCGGCUUAUCAGCUUGUUGGUGGGGUAGUGGCUUACCAAGGCUUUGACGGGUAGCCGGCCUGAGAGGGUGACCGGUCACAUUGGGACUGAGAUACGGCCCAGACUCCUACGGGAGGCAGCAGUGGGGAAUAUUGCACAAUGGGCGGAAGCCUGAUGCAGCAACGCCGCGUGCGGGAUGACGGCCUUCGGGUUGUAAACCGCUUUCGCCUGUGACGAAGCGUGAGUGACGGUAAUGGGUAAAGAAGCACCGGCUAACUACGUG
This 469-nucleotide ribosomal RNA is filed under the name uncultured bacterium. RNAcentral describes it as "bacterial SSU rRNA". It matches the Rfam family "Bacterial small subunit ribosomal RNA", at positions 32 to 507 of the family's 1533-position model. The record is from RNAcentral.